Molecule: long non-coding RNA, 738 nt
Organism: Podarcis raffonei (Aeolian wall lizard)
Lineage: Eukaryota; Metazoa; Chordata; Lepidosauria; Squamata; Lacertidae
Exons: 3
Source: RefSeq, a predicted model, not a curated record
AUAUGGGAUACACGGUGAAUUCUUUCAGGUACGGAAGGGGGAUUAAAUGAGGGCACCCACCUGAGCUAGGUGGGUCGUGGGUCCAGCUGAGUAUAGGGCAGCUUGCUGUGUCUCUCUGUGUUUCUGCUAAGCAUGUAGAUGUCUCCACUGCAGGGGGUGGAAUAGAUGGCCCUUGAGGUCCCCUCCACCUCUACAAUUCUGGUUUCAUGCCAAUUGAUGGUCGGGCAGAAAACAAUCCUCUCUGGCUGCGUUCCCUGGCAAAGCCAGAGAUUUAAACCAAGGACCUUCUGCAUGCAAAGCAGCUGCUCUUCUGCUGAGUGAUGGGAGUGUGGGGCUGUCAAGCUGCAGUUCCAGAUCCGCCAACGCUUCUCUUUUCCCUUUCCAACGUACAGUAGCGGUUCAGUGCUGGCAGAUACAACGGUACGCUUCCAGGAAAGUGCAGGUGUUUCCGCCUAUAAUCUCAGCACUGCUCUGAGCGACGCACCUGAAGACAAACGGCAGGGUCUCAACCUGACUCAGAUCGAAGUGACCGAGCAGGAGACGCCAACGACGCCUUCUCCCACCACAGCUAGCACCAGCUCAAAGACAACCACACCUAAGCCCCCCAAAGAGAAAACGUUCACCAUCACUUACCACAUCACAAUGAAUUUUACUGAGGACUUGUUGGAUUCGUCCUCCGAAGCAUACCAGAACCUGACUGGGAAUAUCGGGAAGAUGUAUGAGGAAGUUUUCAACUGC